UACGUAGGGUGCAGGCGUUAAUCGGAAUUACUGGCGUAAAGCGUGCGCAGGCGGUCUUUUAAGUCAGAUGUGAAAUCCCCGGGCUUAACCUGGGAACUGCGUUUGAAACUGGAAGGCUUGAGUGUGGCAGAGGGGGUGGAAUUCCACGUGUAGCAGUGAAAUGCGUAGAGAUGUGGAGGAACACCGAUGGCGAAGGCAGCCCCUGGCUAACACUGACGCCUCAUGCACGAAGCGUGGGAGCAAACAGGA
Molecule: ribosomal RNA, 249 nt
Filed under: uncultured bacterium
Lineage: Bacteria
Description: partial 16S ribosomal RNA
Rfam family: Bacterial small subunit ribosomal RNA
Source: RNAcentral